GAUGAAGAACGUAGCGAAAUGCGAUAAGUAAUGUGAAUUGCAGAAUUCAGUGAAUCAUCGAAUCUUUGAACGCACAUUGCGCCCGCCAGCACUCUGGCGGGCAUGCCUGUUCGAGCGUCAUUUCAACCAUCAAGCCCCCAGGGGCUUGUGCUGGGGCCCUGCGGCUGCCCGCAGGCCCUGAAAACCAGUGGCGGGCUCGCUAGUCACACCGAGCGCAGUAGCACAUCUCGCUCAGGGCGUGCGGCGGGCUCCUGCCGUGAAACCCCCCACUGUAACCCCAAAGGUUGACCUCGGAUCAGGUAGGAAUACCCGCUGAACUUAAGCAUAUCAAUAAGCGGACGA
This 342-nucleotide unclassified non-coding RNA is filed under the name soil metagenome. RNAcentral's name for it is "partial contains 5.8S ribosomal RNA, internal transcribed spacer 2, and large subunit ribosomal RNA". The stretch from base 1 to 120 matches the Rfam family "5.8S ribosomal RNA", at positions 35 to 154 of the family's 154-position model. The record is from RNAcentral.